UACUGGGAAUAAAGAACAAAAGAGGACCUUGCAAUAUAAGUAAAUACAUAAAUAAGAAUAAGAGAGGAUUGGCAGUGAGACAAAGAUCGAAAUUUCACCAUAUUGGAGUUGAGCCUCUCAACAGCAUUCUUUAUAUUUGUUGUGAUGAAUAUAUCACUUUUUGUAGUUUUAGUUCAUGGAGCAAAUAGCUUUACCAGAGAUGACUUCCCACCUGGCUUUGUGUUUGGUGCUGGUUCUUCACCUUAUCAGGUUGAAGGAGCAUCAAACCAAGAUGGAAGGACUCCAACAAGCAUAUGGGAUACCUUUGCCCGAGCUGGUAAACAUUUCUUUUAUGUAAUUCCAUGUCAAUGAUGAUGCUCAGCAGCUGUCCUCUAUAAUUCUCUUCUUGGCUAGUUAUCGUAGUCAAUAUAACUUUCUUAAGAGUACCAUUUUAGUUUUAUCUUAGUUGGUAAGGUUAAGAUAUAUGUGUGGCCAAGUUGUGAAAAUUUCAGAUUAUCUACACAAAACUGUAUGUGGAUGUUAGUUGUAGGAUGUAGGUUUGAUUCUCUUGAUGGAAAUUGCGUAUAGAAUCCCUGAACAAAAAAUUUACGGUGUCGGAAAAAAAAGAUAAACAGAAGUAAAUUCUGUGUUCAUGGUGUACUGUGGGAUUCAAGCGUAUACAAUGUUUGUGAUUUCAGAAUUUUGUGUUUCAUUAGUAAAUAUAUUUUUUUGGUGAGUAUAUUGGAA
Long non-coding RNA from Ziziphus jujuba (common jujube), 726 nucleotides. RefSeq lists it as uncharacterized. The record is from RefSeq and is a predicted model, not a curated record. NCBI's taxonomy places the organism in Eukaryota, Viridiplantae, Streptophyta, Magnoliopsida, Rosales, Rhamnaceae. The transcript is spliced from 2 exons.